RNAcentral lists this transfer RNA (72 nucleotides) under Camelus bactrianus (Bactrian camel). It matches the Rfam family "tRNA". From Rfam's summary of the family: Transfer RNA (tRNA) molecules are approximately 80 nucleotides in length. Their secondary structure includes four short double-helical elements and three loops (D, anti-codon, and T loops). The record is from Rfam by way of RNAcentral. Lineage: Eukaryota; Metazoa; Chordata; Mammalia; Artiodactyla; Camelidae. RNAcentral also lists the same sequence under 3 other names.
GAGGGUAUCGCUCAGUGGUAGAGCAUGUGCCUAGCAUGCAUGAGGUCCUGGGUUCAAUCCCCAGUACCUUCA